Ameiurus melas (black bullhead) is the source of this 81-nucleotide non-coding RNA. The record is from the annotation of a GenBank genome assembly. Lineage: Eukaryota; Metazoa; Chordata; Actinopteri; Siluriformes; Ictaluridae.
GAGUUUGUGGGACAGUGGUACAAUGAAAAAUGCAUCUCACUAUGAAUCAGAAGAUUCUAGGUUCAGCUCUUAGCAAACUCU